CCUACGGGGGGCAGCAGUGGGGAAUAUUGGACAAUGGGCGAAAGCCUGAUCCAGCCAUGCCGCGUGUGUGAAGAAGGCCUUCGGGUUGUAAAGCACUUUCAGUGGGGAAGAAAGCCUUGGGGCUAAUACCCUCGAGGAAGGACAUCACCCACAGAAGAAGCACCGGCUAACUCCGUGCCAGCAGCCGCGGUAAUACGGAGGGUGCGAGCGUUAAUCGGAAUUACUGGGCGUAAAGCGCGCGUAGGCGGUCUGAUAAGCCGGUUGUGAAAGCCCCGGGCUCAACCUGGGAACGGCAUCCGGAACGGUCAGGCUAGAGUGCAGGAGAGGAAGGUAGAAUUCCCGGUGUAGCGGUGAAAUGCGUAGAGAUCGGGAGGAAUACCAGUGGCGAAGGCGGUCUUCUGGACUGACACUGACGCUGAGGUGCGAAAGCGUGGGUAGCAAACAGGAUUAGAUACCCCUGUAGUC
This 465-nucleotide ribosomal RNA is filed under the name Vreelandella stevensii. RNAcentral's name for it is "partial 16S ribosomal RNA". It matches the Rfam family "Bacterial small subunit ribosomal RNA", at positions 338 to 795 of the family's 1533-position model. Lineage: Bacteria; Pseudomonadati; Pseudomonadota; Gammaproteobacteria; Oceanospirillales; Halomonadaceae. The record is from RNAcentral.